AUGGUGCUCCUUGUCGCGCUCCCGUUCAGGGCACGCGUAUCUAUCUCGCAGGCACCAGAAGGUGGCCAGAAGGAGGCAAGCGGCAGCCUCACCGCUGACACACUCGCCGCUGAUGCCGGCGGCGACGACCAGAUCCUGGCCGUCCCCUCCCUUCCCGUAAGAUCCGUCAAGGAAUUGAACCAUGUCACUCGGAAAUUAGAGAGCAGGCAACUAUAG
Molecule: ribosomal RNA, 216 nt
Filed under: Triticum aestivum (bread wheat)
Lineage: Eukaryota; Viridiplantae; Streptophyta; Magnoliopsida; Poales; Poaceae
Description: partial small subunit ribosomal RNA
Source: RNAcentral